GGCCAGACUCCUACGGGAGGCAGCAGUGGGGAAUAUUGCACAAUGGGGGGAACCCUGAUGCAGCGACGCCGCGUGAGGGAAGAAGGUUUUCGGAUUGUAAACCUCUGUCCUCUGUGACGAUAAUGACGGUAGCAGAGGAGGAAGCCACGGCUAACUACGUGCCAGCAGCCGCGGUAAUACGUAGGGAGCGAGCGUUGUCCGGAUUUACUGGGUGUAAAGGGUGCGUAGGCGGCCCUGCAAGUCAGAAGUGAAAUCCAUGGGCUUAACCCGUGAACUGCUUUUGAAACUGCAGGACUUGAGUGGAGUAGAGGUAGGCGGAAUUCCCGGUGUAGCGGUGAAAUGCGUAGAGAUCGGGAGGAACACCGGUGGCGAAGGCGGCCUGCUGGACUGCGACUGACGUUGAGGCCCGAAAGCGUGGGGAGCAAACAGGAUUAGAUACCCCUGUACG
This 448-nucleotide ribosomal RNA is filed under the name uncultured bacterium. RNAcentral describes it as "partial 16S ribosomal RNA". It matches the Rfam family "Bacterial small subunit ribosomal RNA", at positions 329 to 793 of the family's 1533-position model. The record is from RNAcentral.